GAAAGAAAAGAGUUGCAAAGGAGGCUCCUAUUGGCCCCUCAUCUCCCUUAUCCCCUACUUGGACAUAGACGAGUAAUUAAGUUUCAUGUGAAGGUACACUUUAUGCCUUUGACAUCUUUUACUAUGUGUAAGUUAAAUGAGUGAAUUUUCUCAUUCAAACAGUUUAUUCUUUUCAUAUUAUCUCAAUACAUUAAUAUAUGCAUUUCAUCCAAAAUUCUACUUGUGUCUCAAUGUCUGGUUGUUAACAUGGAUAUGCACGUUGAUUCAUUGGAUUUCAUUGUUUCUUUUUUGUUGAUGAAACUGAUUAGGUUGUAACAUGGAAGGGUCACGAUGGAUUGCAAAAUGAAUUAAAAUGACUAGUGAGUUAAGUACUUUGAAAUAAAAAGAAAAAGUCUUAGAUUGAACUUGGAUUGCUAAUAGAAUUAUCGUUAUUUGUUAAAUAUUUAGUACUUAAAUUUUUCAUGAUGAUGAUAAUAAUUUAGUAACAGUAUAAACAAAUGAUAUGAAUACUUUUUAUAUCACGAAUCAUUCUAAUAGCUACCAGGGUUGUACCUAUUUGAUAAUGUCAACAAUUAUGUUAUUUAUCAAGUGACUCAUUUGACCCACGAUUAAUGCUAACUAAACGCAUUAAGAUUAAGUGGAUGGAGCUUUAAUUAAGACUCAGUAUAUUUGUGAAAUUGUUAUGAACAGAAAACUUUUUUAUUUUUCAAGGUGUAGAUUGUCAUAUUCUAUUUUGAAAACAAUAUUUGAUUUAAAUUUAUUUAUCUUGCUGGCAAAUUAAUAUUGACUUCUUUUCUAGAUUGGAUUGAACCCAAAGAGAAGGAGAGCUUGUGCUUUUCAGCACCAGAAACCCCAUGAAGCAUGGUCAAGGAAUUAUUAACCGCACAUUUGUUUGUAUGGAAAGACUAUGUUUCAGAGUUAGCUUGAAAGCAGAACAAAAACAGAGAACUCCAACUGCUCUUCCAAGACGUUGAUAACAGAGUCCAUGUAUUCUUGACUUUCAUUGAAAACAAAGUCCAUUUAUCACUUUAGUACCUCAUCUUGCUUUCUGAAUAGAUACAUUUGCCAGCCAACAAAAUGCAUUUAGAAUUUUGCUUUUUAAUUACGACUCAUUUUGAUUUUUCUUUUUGCCGGUUUCUAUUCUAGAUUCUUGUAUAUUUCAUGAAGAGAUAUCCCAUGAACUCCAUUUGUUGUCUAGGAAGACUACAUUUAAGAGUUAGACUGAAGACUAAAACUAAAACAGUGAACUCCGUCUGCUCUUCCAAGAAGUUGAAAACAAACUCCUUGUAACUUUGACUUUCGCUGGUAGAUGUAUAGCUUUAGUAACUCAUUUUGCUUUAUGAUAAAGUUAUUAGAUAGCGACAAAAUGCACUUUGAAUUAUGCUUCAAUUUUUUACUCAUUUUGGAUUUUUUUUGCCAUUCUCCACUCUAGGUUCUUCCAUACUUUCUUUGAGCAAACUAACUUUCAUAAUUACAAUAGUAUUUGAUUGACACCUAAUCAAACUACCACUGUAAGUCUAUUGUAGACACCGGUUGGUUGUUUAAUUGAGAGUAAUGUGAUAGAGAACAUGAUAAAGAAUGGGUCUUAUAUAAAAGAGGGGAAAAGUGAAGGGACCAAAUUGUAAUAUUUAUAUUUUCUGUUUUGCACCCGAUCCCUAGGCUAGUAUAAAUAACUGUAGUCUUAGGGUUAUGGAUCAUUCAGUCUUUUCCAUUUGCGUUUUGAGUGUUCGGCAUUAGCUUGGGCAGGGUUGUCCCUUUGAAGGGACUCUCUGAUUAGGUCAGGAAGAACCAUUUGGGUCUUUACUGAUUUUGUUCUAUUUUCAUUUCAUUCAGUAAUCAAAUAGCUUUCUAGAUUCUACAUAUCCCAUACUCUGGUUUCUAUCAUAAUGUCCCUUAG
This 1897-nucleotide long non-coding RNA is filed under the name Lactuca sativa (garden lettuce). RNAcentral's name for it is "long non-coding RNA (LSAT_LNC002930)". The record is from RNAcentral. Lineage: Eukaryota; Viridiplantae; Streptophyta; Magnoliopsida; Asterales; Asteraceae.